RNAcentral lists this ribosomal RNA (736 nucleotides) under uncultured Pseudomonadales bacterium. Its description in RNAcentral is "bacterial SSU rRNA". It matches the Rfam family "Bacterial small subunit ribosomal RNA", at positions 43 to 774 of the family's 1533-position model. The record is from RNAcentral. Lineage: Bacteria; Pseudomonadati; Pseudomonadota; Gammaproteobacteria; Pseudomonadales.
CAGGCCUAACACAUGCAAGUCGAGCGGAUGAGAAGAGCUUGCUCUUCGAUUCAGCGGCGGACGGGUGAGUAAUGCCUAGGAAUCUGCCUGGUAGUGGGGGACAACGUUUCGAAAGGAACGCUAAUACCGCAUACGUCCUACGGGAGAAAGCAGGGGACCUUCGGGCCUUGCGCUAUCAGAUGAGCCUAGGUCGGAUUAGCUAGUUGGUGAGGUAAUGGCUCACCAAGGCGACGAUCCGUAACUGGUCUGAGAGGAUGAUCAGUCACACUGGAACUGAGACACGGUCCAGACUCCUACGGGAGGCAGCAGUGGGGAAUAUUGGACAAUGGGCGAAAGCCUGAUCCAGCCAUGCCGCGUGUGUGAAGAAGGUCUUCGGAUUGUAAAGCACUUUAAGUUGGGAGGAAGGGCAUUAACCUAAUACGUUAGUGUUUUGACGUUACCGACAGAAUAAGCACCGGCUAACUCUGUGCCAGCAGCCGCGGUAAUACAGAGGGUGCAAGCGUUAAUCGGAAUUACUGGGCGUAAAGCGCGCGUAGGUGGUUUGUUAAGUUGAAUGUGAAAGCCCCGGGCUCAGCCUGGGAACUGCAUCCAAAACUGGCAAGCUAGAGUACGGUAGAGGGUGGUGGAAUUUCCUGUGUAGCGGUGAAAUGCGUAGAUAUAGGAAGGAACACCAGUGGCGAAGGCGACCACCUGGACUGAUACUGACACUGAGGUGCGAAAGCGUGGGGAGCAAACA